Long non-coding RNA from Arabidopsis lyrata subsp. lyrata, 323 nucleotides. RefSeq lists it as uncharacterized. NCBI's taxonomy places the organism in Eukaryota, Viridiplantae, Streptophyta, Magnoliopsida, Brassicales, Brassicaceae. The record is from RefSeq and is a predicted model, not a curated record. The transcript is spliced from 2 exons.
UACCAGUGGAAGAAGAUAGUGGCCCUUGGGAAGUAGGGGCAUUAGAGGACGUAGGAGCCUCAACAUUGGAUGGGUAAAUUAGGGCUUGGAGCUUGAAGGUAGUAAUAAGGGGAAGGCAUGAUGUUGGAUGAUGAUGGUGAUGUUGCUCCUCCUCCUCCUCCGUACAUUUGCUGUUGAUAGUAUUGUGCCUGUUGGAGCUGUGCGUUGUAUAGGGCCUGCAUGUAACUUAUAUGUUUUAUUAAUAUAUUACCAACCUGAACACAAUAAUUAAUGAUAAUCUCUGAGUGCAUUAUUUUAUGAUUCACUCUAUUUCUUCUACCUCA